GGAUGAACGCUGGCGGCGUGCUUAACACAUGCAAGUCAAGGGGGCCCAGGCAAUGGGUAACCGGCGAACGGGUGCGUAACACGUGAGCAACCUACCGAAUUGUGGGGGAUAGCCGGCCCAACGGCCGGGUAAUACCGCAUACGAUCGAGACCAGGCAUUUGGACUCGAUGAAAAUCUACGGAGCAAUUCGAGGGGCUCGCGGCCUAUCAGCUAGUUGGUGAGGUAACGGCUCACCAAGGCGACGACGGUAGCUGGUCUGAGAGGAUGGCCAGCCACAUUGGGACUGAGA
RNAcentral lists this ribosomal RNA (289 nucleotides) under uncultured bacterium. Its description in RNAcentral is "partial 16S ribosomal RNA". It matches the Rfam family "Bacterial small subunit ribosomal RNA", at positions 27 to 324 of the family's 1533-position model. The record is from RNAcentral.